UCCAGCCAUGGCUGCUGCCACGCUGCCAUGGACAACCACCAAACGACACCUAAACAAGAGGACCAUCUAGCUUCGGACUGAUGCUGCGUUCUUCACUGUCCAUUUGCUGCUGCCCGCGCUCCUUAUCCUCCAAGAUCACGUUGGAUUCUUCUUCUCCAAGAUCAUGUCAUUGUUGCUGUUGCGUUUCUUCAUUGUUCGCGUUGCUGCCAUGCUUCCUUCUCCGUCCUUUUCCAAACAACCAAACUACUUUCCGUUGGAGUUCGUCGUCGCUUCGAUCCGGUACACUACUCUGAAUCAUUUCAACAUAUGUAUUGAAGAUGAAAUAAAAUGGCCGGAAGAUUUAAGUUUUUUUUAAUAGAAUAUUCGCAUUUUUAGUUAAAUAUUCAUUAUGUGUCUCAUGUUAUGUAGAUGGUAGAAGUAUUUAUUAUGUGAAGUAUUAAACUGCGGGACUAGUGGAUGGGUGUCAGUAUGAACACCAUAAGUAUUAGUUUCGGCUUUGUUAAAUUUUUA
Molecule: non-coding RNA, 510 nt
Organism: Nicotiana tabacum (common tobacco)
Lineage: Eukaryota; Viridiplantae; Streptophyta; Magnoliopsida; Solanales; Solanaceae
Source: RefSeq, a predicted model, not a curated record